UCUGUGGUAGCUUAAAGGUAGAGUCCCAACUGGUAAUUGGAACGUCGCGGGCUUGACUCCCGUUUGCGGAA
Molecule: transfer RNA, 71 nt
Filed under: Anisakis simplex (herring worm)
Lineage: Eukaryota; Metazoa; Nematoda; Chromadorea; Rhabditida; Anisakidae
Rfam family: tRNA
About the family: Transfer RNA (tRNA) molecules are approximately 80 nucleotides in length. Their secondary structure includes four short double-helical elements and three loops (D, anti-codon, and T loops). Further hydrogen bonds mediate the characteristic L-shaped molecular structure. tRNAs have two regions of fundamental functional importance: the anti-codon, which is responsible for specific mRNA codon recognition, and the 3' end, to which the tRNAs corresponding amino acid is attached (by aminoacyl-tRNA synthetases). tRNAs cope with the degeneracy of the genetic code in two manners: having more than one tRNA (with a specific anti-codon) for a particular amino acid; and 'wobble' base-pairing, i.e. permitting non-standard base-pairing at the 3rd anti-codon position.
Source: Rfam by way of RNAcentral